GGGAGUUUGGCCGAGUGGUUAUGGCGCUGCGUUCAGGUUUACCUUGAAUAUAACAUCGCAGUGGAGCAAUCCGCGUGGGUUCGAGUCCCACAGCUCUCA
RNAcentral lists this transfer RNA (99 nucleotides) under Hypoxylon sp. FL0890. RNAcentral's name for it is "tRNA-Leu". It matches the Rfam family "tRNA". From Rfam's summary of the family: Transfer RNA (tRNA) molecules are approximately 80 nucleotides in length. Their secondary structure includes four short double-helical elements and three loops (D, anti-codon, and T loops). The record is from RNAcentral. Lineage: Eukaryota; Fungi; Ascomycota; Sordariomycetes; Xylariales; Hypoxylaceae.